Scleropages formosus (Asian bonytongue) is the source of this 135-nucleotide small nucleolar RNA. NCBI's taxonomy places the organism in Eukaryota, Metazoa, Chordata, Actinopteri, Osteoglossiformes, Osteoglossidae. The record is from Ensembl.
UCGGCCCUUACUGAAGACCUGCAGCUUCUCGUAGCUGCUUGUUUCAAAUUGAGGCCAACACUAAUUCCUUCCUGUGGUCUGUUGGUUUCCCCAUUUUUAAAAGGGGGUCAGUCAACUCAGUUGGAAGGAACAAUU